AGGAUGAACGCUGGCGGCGUGCCUAAUACAUGCAAGUCGAGCGGUAAGGCCCCUUCGGGGGUACACGAGCGGCGGACGGCUGAGUAACACGUAGGAACGUACCCCAAAGUGAGGGAUAAGCACCAGAAAUGGUGUCUAAUACCGCAUGUGCUCUUCGGAGGAAAGCUUCGGCGCUUUGGGAACGGCCUGCGCAUGAUUAGCUUGUUGGUGAGGUAAUGGCUCACCAAGGCGACGAUCAUUAGCUGGUCUGAGAGGAUGAUCAGCCAGACUGGGACUGAGAACGGCCCAGACUCCUACGGGAGGCAGCAGUAGGGAAUUUUCCACAAUGGGCGAAAGCCUGAUGGAGCAACGCCGCGUGCAGGAUGAAUGCCUUCGGGUUGUAAACUGUCUUUAUAUGUGACGAAUAUGACGGUAGCAUAUGAAUAAGGAUCGGCUAACUCCGUGCCAGCAGCCGCGGU
Molecule: ribosomal RNA, 458 nt
Filed under: uncultured bacterium
Lineage: Bacteria
Description: SSU rRNA
Rfam family: Bacterial small subunit ribosomal RNA
Source: RNAcentral